RNAcentral lists this ribosomal RNA (3091 nucleotides) under Salmonella enterica. RNAcentral describes it as "23S ribosomal RNA". It matches the Rfam family "Bacterial large subunit ribosomal RNA". RNAcentral also lists the same sequence under 2 other names. The record is from RNAcentral. Lineage: Bacteria; Pseudomonadati; Pseudomonadota; Gammaproteobacteria; Enterobacterales; Enterobacteriaceae.
GGUUAAGCGACUAAGCGUACACGGUGGAUGCCCUGGCAGUCAGAGGCGAUGAAGGGCGUGCUAAUCUGCGAUAAGCGCCGGUAAGGUGAUAUGAACCGUUAUAACCGGCGAUACCCGAAUGGGGAAACCCAGUGUGAUUCGUCACACUAUCAUUAACUGAAUCCAUAGGUUAAUGAGGCGAACCGGGGGAACUGAAACAUCUAAGUACCCCGAGGAAAAGAAAUCAACCGAGAUUCCCCCAGUAGCGGCGAGCGAACGGGGAGGAGCCCAGAGCCUGAAUCAGCAUGUGUGUUAGUGGAAGCGUCUGGAAAGGCGCGCGAUACAGGGUGACAGCCCCGUACACAAAAGCGCAUGUGCUGUGAGCUCGAUGAGUAGGGCGGGACACGUGGUAUCCUGUCUGAAUAUGGGGGGACCAUCCUCCAAGGCUAAAUACUCCUGACUGACCGAUAGUGAACCAGUACCGUGAGGGAAAGGCGAAAAGAACCCCGGCGAGGGGAGUGAAAAAGAACCUGAAACCGUGUACGUACAAGCAGUGGGAGCCCCACCACUAAGCCAGUGGUGAACUCCACAUCCGCAUCCUUUGCUGAGGAUACGGUUAACGGAGCGAAAGCGACGUUCAACCGCAAAACAAGCAGAGGGGGCUUAGUGGUGGGGUGACUGCGUACCUUUUGUAUAAUGGGUCAGCGACUUAUAUUCUGUAGCAAGGUUAACCGAAUAGGGGAGCCGGAGGGAAACCGAGUCUUAAUUGGGCGUUAAGUUGCAGGGUAUAGACCCGAAACCCGGUGAUCUAGCCAUGGGCAGGUUGAAGGUUGGGUAACACUAACUGGAGGACCGAACCGACUAAUGUUGAAAAAUUAGCGGAUGACCUGUGGCUGGGGGUGAAAGGCCAAUCAAACCGGGAGAUAGCUGGUUCUCCCCGAAAGCUAUUUAGGUAGCGCCUCGUGAAUUCAUCUCCGGGGGUAGAGCACUGUUUCGGCUAGGGGGCCAUCCCGGCUUACCAACCCGAUGCAAACUGCGAAUACCGGAGAAUGUUAUCACGGGAGACACACGGCGGGUGCUAACGUCCGUCGUGAAGAGGGAAACAACCCAGACCGCCAGCUAAGGUCCCAAAGUCAUGGUUAAGUGGGAAACGAUGUGGGAAGGCCCAGACAGCCAGGAUGUUGGCUUAGAAGCAGCCAUCAUUUAAAGAAAGCGUAAUAGCUCACUGGUCGAGUCGGCCUGCGCGGAAGAUGUAACGGGGCUAAACCAUGCACCGAAGCUGCGGCAGCGAACGUAUCACCCAAGACAACUUUACGGAGUUGACGAUUGACGGAGCGAAGCGACGUCAAAGCGUUCAUUAAAGUCGAGUUGGCUUAGGGAUACGUUCGUUGGGUAGGGGAGCGUUCUGUAAGCCUGUGAAGGUGUGUCGUGAGGCAUGCUGGAGGUAUCAGAAGUGCGAAUGCUGACAUAAGUAACGAUAAAGCGGGUGAAAAGCCCGCUCGCCGGAAGACCAAGGGUUCCUGUCCAACGUUAAUCGGGGCAGGGUGAGUCGACCCCUAAGGCGAGGCCGAAAGGCGUAGUCGAUGGGAAACGGGUUAAUAUUCCCGUACUUGGUGUUACUGCGAAGGGGGGACGGAGAAGGCUAUGUUGGCCGGGCGACGGUUGUCCCGGUUUAAGCGUGUAGGUGUGUGUUCCAGGUAAAUCCGGUUCACUUUAACACUGAGGCGUGACGACGAGGCACUACGGUGCUGAAGCAACAAAUGCCCUGCUUCCAGGAAAAGCCUCUAAGCAUCAGGUAACAUCAAAUCGUACCCCAAACCGACACAGGUGGUCAGGUAGAGAAUACCAAGGCGCUUGAGAGAACUCGGGUGAAGGAACUAGGCAAAAUGGUGCCGUAACUUCGGGAGAAGGCACGCUGACACGUAGGUGAAGUGAUUUACUCAUGGAGCUGAAGUCAGUCGAAGAUACCAGCUGGCUGCAACUGUUUAUUAAAAACACAGCACUGUGCAAACACGAAAGUGGACGUAUACGGUGUGACGCCUGCCCGGUGCCGGAAGGUUAAUUGAUGGGGUCAGCGCAAGCGAAGCUCCUGAUCGAAGCCCCGGUAAACGGCGGCCGUAACUAUAACGGUCCUAAGGUAGCGAAAUUCCUUGUCGGGUAAGUUCCGACCUGCACGAAUGGCGUAAUGAUGGCCAGGCUGUCUCCACCCGAGACUCAGUGAAAUUGAACUCGCUGUGAAGAUGCAGUGUACCCGCGGCAAGACGGAAAGACCCCGUGAACCUUUACUAUAGCUUGACACUGAACAUUGAGCCUUGAUGUGUAGGAUAGGUGGGAGGCUUUGAAGUGUGGACGCCAGUCUGCAUGGAGCCGACCUUGAAAUACCACCCUUUAAUGUUUGAUGUUCUAACGUGGACCCGUAAUCCGGGUUGCGGACAGUGUCUGGUGGGUAGUUUGACUGGGGCGGUCUCCUCCUAAAGAGUAACGGAGGAGCACGAAGGUUGGCUAAUCCUGGUCGGACAUCAGGAGGUUAGUGCAAUGGCAUAAGCCAGCUUGACUGCGAGCGUGACGGCGCGAGCAGGUGCGAAAGCAGGUCAUAGUGAUCCGGUGGUUCUGAAUGGAAGGGCCAUCGCUCAACGGAUAAAAGGUACUCCGGGGAUAACAGGCUGAUACCGCCCAAGAGUUCAUAUCGACGGCGGUGUUUGGCACCUCGAUGUCGGCUCAUCACAUCCUGGGGCUGAAGUAGGUCCCAAGGGUAUGGCUGUUCGCCAUUUAAAGUGGUACGCGAGCUGGGUUUAGAACGUCGUGAGACAGUUCGGUCCCUAUCUGCCGUGGGCGCUGGAGAACUGAGGGGGGCUGCUCCUAGUACGAGAGGACCGGAGUGGACGCAUCACUGGUGUUCGGGUUGUCAUGCCAAUGGCACUGCCCGGUAGCUAAAUGCGGAAGAGAUAAGUGCUGAAAGCAUCUAAGCACGAAACUUGCCCCGAGAUGAGUUCUCCCUGAGACUUAGAGUCUCCUGAAGGAACGUUGAAGACGACGACGUUGAUAGGCCGGGUGUGUAAGCGCAGCGAUGCGUUGAGCUAACCGGUACUAAUGAACCGUGAGGCUUAACCUU